CGGCCAGACUCCUACGGGAGGCAGCAGUGGGGAAUAUUGCACAAUGGGGGAAACCCUGAUGCAGCGACGCCGCGUGAAGGAAGAAGUAUUUCGGUAUGUAAACUUCUAUCAGCAGGGAAGAAAAUGACGGUACCUGACUAAGAAGCCCCGGCUAACUACGUGCCAGCAGCCGCGGUAAUACGUAGGGGGCAAGCGUUAUCCGGAUUUACUGGGGGUAAAGGGAGCGUAGACGUCUAUGCAAGUCUUGAGUGAAGGGCGGGGCCCCAACCCCCGGACUGCUCUGGAAACUGUAGAGCUAGAGUGCAGUAGAAGUAAGUGGAAUUCCUAGUGUAGCGGUGAAAUGCGUAGAUAUUAGGAGGAACACCAGUGGCGAAGGCGGCUUACUGGACUGUAACUGACGUUGAGGCUCGAAAGCGUGGGGAGCAAACAGGAUUAGAUACCCCUGUA
Molecule: ribosomal RNA, 447 nt
Filed under: uncultured bacterium
Lineage: Bacteria
Description: bacterial SSU rRNA
Rfam family: Bacterial small subunit ribosomal RNA
Source: RNAcentral